GGUGCUGCAUGGCUGUCGUCAGCUCGUGUCGUGAGACGUUGGGUUAAGUCCGUAACGAGCGCAACCCUUGUCCUUAGUUACCAGCACGUUAUGGUGGGCACUCUAAGGAGACUGACCGGUGACAACCGGAGGAAGGUGGGGAUGACGUCAAGUCAUCAUGGCCCUUACGGCCUGGGCUACACACGUGCUACAAUGGUCGGUACAAAGGGUUGCCAAGCCGCGAGGUGGAGCUAAUCCCAUAAAACCGAUCGUAGUCCGGAUCGCAGUCUGCAACUCGACUGCGUGAAGUCGGAAUCGCUAGUAAUCGUGAAUCAGAAUGUCACGGUGAAUACGUUCCCGGGCCUU
This 345-nucleotide ribosomal RNA is filed under the name uncultured Pseudomonas sp. Its description in RNAcentral is "bacterial SSU rRNA". It matches the Rfam family "Bacterial small subunit ribosomal RNA", at positions 1037 to 1382 of the family's 1533-position model. The record is from RNAcentral. Lineage: Bacteria; Pseudomonadati; Pseudomonadota; Gammaproteobacteria; Pseudomonadales; Pseudomonadaceae.